Long non-coding RNA from Rhinolophus ferrumequinum (greater horseshoe bat), 631 nucleotides. RefSeq lists it as uncharacterized. NCBI's taxonomy places the organism in Eukaryota, Metazoa, Chordata, Mammalia, Chiroptera, Rhinolophidae. The record is from RefSeq and is a predicted model, not a curated record. The transcript is spliced from 3 exons.
AUCUGAACGCCAUCAGGAAGAAACACAUCUUGUUCCUUACGUUUCCAAGGAGGAGAGCGAAUCUGAACGCCACUUCCAGCUUCACACUACCGUUUCAACUCACUUUUCCCAGGAGAGGAGGAACGAGUUAGCUGCCUGGUGAAUUUGGAAGUAGGAAGUGAGUGUGAUGACUCAGUCCAUCUGGCUUUUCUCUCUGAUACCCUCCCUGUUUCCCUGAAUUUCUGGUCUGCUCUUAUUGCUGAAAUAAGUUAACAGGGACAGGCUCUGUCUCUGUGGGGCAGCCUGUGGUUGUCCAACUGUGCCCCUGACCAGGUCCUAUUUCUCAACAGGUUCCAAAUUGAGAACCUCUAUCCCCGCCCGGGAAAGUCCCAUCACAGCCGUGAAUAAGAUGGAACAGAAGUGAAAACAUCUGAAUUUGGGAUCAGUGACCCGAACCAGAGGGUGAAACUGCCGUGUGUAUGGAGGCUUGGGAUAUGCAAAGUGUAACUUAACCAAAACUAAGUAUCUCUGGGUUCCAAGUAACCAGCACAUACAAGCACACAGUAAGCACACAGCAUAUACUGAAGGAAUGAAUAAACGAAGAAUGGAAAGUUUUCUUCAUGGAAACAGUCUCCUGGUGUUCUCGUGGCCA